GCCUACAUGAAGCUGGAGUUACUAGUAAUCGCAGAUCAGAAUGCUGCGGUGAAUGCGUUCCCGGGUCUGGUACACACCGCCCGUCACACCACGGGAGUUGGAGACGCCCGAAGCCGAUUAUCUAACCGUUUGGAAGAAGUCGUCGAAGGUGGAAUCAAUAACUGGGGUGAAGUCGUAACAAGGUAGCCGUAUCGGAAGGUGCGGCUGGAUCACCUCCUUUCUAAGGAGA
RNAcentral lists this ribosomal RNA (229 nucleotides) under Clostridioides difficile. Its description in RNAcentral is "partial 16S ribosomal RNA". It matches the Rfam family "Bacterial small subunit ribosomal RNA", at positions 1314 to 1533 of the family's 1533-position model. Lineage: Bacteria; Bacillati; Bacillota; Clostridia; Peptostreptococcales; Peptostreptococcaceae. The record is from RNAcentral.